RNAcentral lists this ribosomal RNA (502 nucleotides) under uncultured Glomeromycotina. Its description in RNAcentral is "partial small subunit ribosomal RNA". It matches the Rfam family "Eukaryotic small subunit ribosomal RNA", at positions 591 to 1092 of the family's 1831-position model. Lineage: Eukaryota; Fungi; Glomeromycota. The record is from RNAcentral.
CCAAUAGCGUAUAUUAAAGUUGUUGCAGUUAAAAAGCUCGUAGUUGAAUUUCGGAAUCUGUCCGUUGGUCGGGCUUCAUUGUCCGUACUGGUGUGAUGGGUUCUUACCUUCUGAAUAACCAGCAUGCCAUUCAUUUGGUGCGUUGGGGAAGCAGGACUAUUACCUUGAAAAAAUUAGAGUGCUCAAAGCAGGCUAGUGCCUGAAUACAUUAGCAUGGAAUAAUAAAAUAGGACGGCAUGGUUCUAUUUUGUUGGUUUCUAGGAUCACCGUAAUGAUUAAUAGGGAUAGUUGGGGGCAUUAGUAUUCAAUUGUCAGAGGUGAAAUUCUUGGAUUUAUUGAAGACUAACUUCUGCGAAAGCAUUUGCCAAGGAUGUUUUCAUUAAUCAAGAACGAAAGUUAGGGGAUCGAAGACGAUCAGAUACCGUCGUAGUCUUAACCAUAAACUAUGCCGACUAGGGAUCGGACGAUGUUAAUUUUUUAAUGACUCGUUCGGCGCCUUACG